RNAcentral lists this transfer RNA (72 nucleotides) under Ovis aries (sheep). It matches the Rfam family "tRNA". From Rfam's summary of the family: Transfer RNA (tRNA) molecules are approximately 80 nucleotides in length. Their secondary structure includes four short double-helical elements and three loops (D, anti-codon, and T loops). The record is from Rfam by way of RNAcentral. Lineage: Eukaryota; Metazoa; Chordata; Mammalia; Artiodactyla; Bovidae.
UCCCUGGUGGCUCAGAUGGUAAAGCGUCUGCCUAAAAUGCAUGAAACCCGGGUUCAAUCCCUGGGUUGGGAA